AGUGAACGCUGGCGGUAGGCCUAACACAUGCCAGUCGAACGGCAGCACAGUAAGAGCUUGCUCUUACGGGUGGCGAGUGGCGGACGGGUGAGGAAUACAUCGGAAUCUACUUUUUCGUGGGGGAUAACGUAGGGAAACUUACGCUAAUACCGCAUACGACCUACGGGUGAAAGCAGGGGAUCUUCGGACCUUGCGCGAUUGAAUGAGCCGAUGUCGGAUUAGCUGGUUGGCGGGGUAAAGGCCCACCAAGGCGACGAUCCGUAGCUGGUCUGAGAGGAUGAUCGGCCACACUGGAACUGAGACACGGUCCAGACUCCUACGGGAGGCAGCAGUGGGGAAUAUUGGACAAUGGGCGCAAGCCUGAUCCAGCCAUACCGCGUGGGUGAAGAAGGCCUUCGGGUUGUAAAGCCCUUUUGUUGGGAAAGAAAAGCAGCAGGUUAAUACCCCGCUGUUCUGACGGUACCCAAAGAAUAAGCACCGGCUAACUUCGUG
RNAcentral lists this ribosomal RNA (492 nucleotides) under uncultured bacterium. RNAcentral's name for it is "partial 16S ribosomal RNA". It matches the Rfam family "Bacterial small subunit ribosomal RNA", at positions 29 to 507 of the family's 1533-position model. The record is from RNAcentral.